CCAACAUGAAACACACCUCUAUUGCUUCUUUUGCUCUCACUCGCGGUACCAUCAUGUCUCUAUUCUAUCUUGUUCUUGCUCUUGCUCUUGGUCUUGUUCAGCUCCUCAGCCCUCCUAGCCUUAAUUAACUCUCCUCCUCACUUUCGCAGUUCUCUCUCUCUCUCUCUCGCGUACAAAAAACACCACAACGAGCGGAGGGACACACGGCUUAUGACUGUCUUUUGCUAGUUGCCACUUUACUGAUCUAGACUGUUAUAAUGGUCUCAUUGUCAGAGAAUGAAUGGCUGAGAAGACCAAGUCAGACUUCUUCUCUUGCACUUGUCUGUGGAUAAGUUUGUCAAGAACUUGAUUGUGAGGCUAAUGGAGGAUCCAUAUGAAAAGAACUUGACUGAGAGGGAAAGUUAGUCUGGGAUCUCUCUUUGCGGACAAUUUCUUGGAAGUUAGCUGGAUUGGAGGGAGACGCUUCUUAUUCUGCCUUUUUUGUAACGUGUAAAUCUUGUUGUUGACUGGAGUCAAGUAGCUUACAAGUGAAGAGAGACUCAAGGGAGCUAAUCUUUCUAGUUAAAGAAGCUGUCGAUAUUUCGAAUUUGGGGGGGUUGGAAAGUCAUUGAGCACCACAAAUCUUGUUGAUGGAAUCAUCGUCAUUGACGGGAUCAUCGAAGAGGGCCAAAGCACCUGGGAAUGUGACCCAAAUGGCUCAUUGCUUGGUUGAUGGAUGUAAUGCUGACCUUAGCCAAUGUCGAGAUUAUCAUCGCCGCCAUAAAGUCUGUGAGCACCACUCUAAGGCCUCAAAAGUCACAAUUGGGGGUCGUGAGCUACGGUUUUGUCAACAAUGCAGCAGGUUUCAUUCUUUAGGGGAGUUUGAUGAAGGAAAAAGGAGCUGCAGAAAACGUCUUGAUGGCCAUAAUAGGAGGCGAAGGAAGCCUCAGGCAGAACUUUCCAGAAACUCUGGAAUGCUUUUUCCAAGUCAACAAGGUAGUAGUAGGCUUCUGUCAUUUGGUACACCUCAAAUAUUUCCAAGUGCUGUGGUGAGUUCCAGCUGGAGUGGUGUUGUCAAACCUGAGAAUGAUGUGGUGCUGUACUGCCAAUCAAACACAAAUUACAUAGACAGGCAAAACGCGUUCCCAGAGUCGGUUCAUGACUACAAAGGAGUGAACCAGUUUCAAUUCAUUCAAAGCACCCCCCGCACUCUUCCUGAAACUUCCAUCUGCCAACCGCUUCUUGAUCCUGAUUCUGCAUCAGGACAUAAUAAUAGCAGCCAAAAGAUCUUUUCCGAUGGUUUGAAUCAAGUUAUCAAUUCUGAUCGUGCUCUCUCUCUUCUGUCAUCUGCACCCGCCGUAACUAGGGAGAUUGGUUUUAGCCACAUGGUGCAGCCUGACUCCAUUUCCCAGGCACAGUCCUUAGUACACAAUUUGCAGUACGGCAGUCCAGGCCAGUUUCCAUAUGCUCAGGAAAUAGAAAACAAGCCAGUAAUUUCUGAAUCAGAUUCCCGAGUGAGCAACAAUGCCACCCUUCAUUUCCAGGAAAUGUUUCAGAAUGGACCUGAAGAGUCAUCUACAAGUGGUGGAUCUCAGCAGACUCUAACAUUCCUGUGGGAGUAGCUCUCGUUAAUUGCCGUUGCUUGCACUGUGCUGACUGCGUCAAUAAACUGUUGCUGUAAUUCAGCCCCUCUGCAACGAGAAAAACUUCAAUGCAGUUGUUCCCAUCUUAAGUAGUAUAAUUAUCUAAUGGUCGUUGGAGAAAAUGGAAUUGCGUAUCCCAGGAUCCUGUGCUGAAGAUUUACAAUCUCCAAAAGUGGAACUCCAAAUUAUAAUCCUAGUCUGUUGUGAUGCAUAAGCUGAUGUGAUAUGCAGCCGUUGAACUGAAAAUUCUCUCCUCAGCCUCACAGAGUUUGAGAACAAAGUCAUACAACAGUAAUUCUGCCACUUCUGCUAGUGGAUCAUUGUAAUGAAAUAAUGACAUAGGUUAAUUAAAAUCAACUGUGAAAGGAGGUCAGGCUGAGAAUUUCAUCUGCAAAUGCGGUCUGUUUCAUACGCAAUCAUCUGGAGGGACUUUCUUCAUUCUCUGAUAUAUGGGCUAAUUCUAUGUUGAGUUUCUUGAUUAGUUUUAUCUUUGAUGAACAUUUAUUCACAGCAACAAGCUUCUUAUGCAGGCCAUUUACACGGCAGGUCUUGGAGUGGCAACUCGCUUGAUCCCCACUCUUAGUGCAUGAAUUAUCAACUCCAGUACGUUAUCACAAUAUUGGGUUGUUUGCAUGAGAUAAACAUCAUCAUCAUCGAGCAGCGCUGAUUGGUGAUUGCUGUGUUCCAGGACCACAGGAAAUCAGGGAUGUAUAUCUUAGUUAAAGGCGCUGAACUAGUAGUUGUACUUUCUAACUAUAGUUCGUCAAAGGCAGCUCCAACCGAGCCUGGCCUAUAGCACCAUACAAAUAAGAAUAAGUAAACAAACGCAAGAUCUUGUACCAAAUCACGGGAUAGACACAGAGAAUAAAAAGCGAAGCAGGAAGCCAUGCAUAAAGAAAGUCCACAGUCGGCUCAAUCUUUCCUUGGAUAUGUUUUAAUCCACCAACGCAAUUCUGCAUUAAGCAUAUCUCGGAAAAUGGGUCCGAAUCUGGAAUUAAAUAUAAAGAGGAAUAUAUCCAACUACAACUAAUUGAGUAUUAUAUGACUGCAAAGCAGUAAUUAGCUAGGGGACCACUGAUCGAUCAUCAAGAAGAUUCAUUUUUAUCUUAACAACCUCAGUCCAAUAAAUAGUGGAGCUGCCCCCAGUAAAUUGUAUAUAAGUUUCUAAUUUUGUGCUGUAACUCAAAAUGGAGAUCGCCAACCGGAUGCAAGGUGGAGGAGGAGGCAGCCUUCUGAAGAGCAAGCUGGUUAUGUCUUUCUACAGAGCUGCUAAACCUGCACCAUCUAUGAUGCAAUAUGCUACAAAGGUUGAGCCAGAGCCGCGCGCAUCUUCGGCCGCGGUGCAAACAGAGUCUUUCUCACAGCCAGGCGGAGGCUUUCCUAGUUCGGAUGGCUACGUUCACGGCCCUACAGGCAUUGGUGGAGAUGAACAAGUUGACACAAAGGCCACAAGCUACAUUAAUCACGUAAAGGAGCGUCGCAGACUCGAAGAAUUGAGCAUCCUGAACGAAGGCCUUUAUAACUGAUUGGUGAACUGAUCAGGAAAAUACAUGUAGCCUUGCUGAAUUUUUUAUGGUGCAGUAUGGUGUGUCGCGUGAAACUCAGUCACGCGAGUGACUAGUCGACUAGGAAGCAGCAGUCCAAUUUUGUUAUGUUACAAGAACCUUUGAAAUGGAAGUCGUUUCACUUUC
Coffea arabica (coffee) is the source of this 3313-nucleotide RNA transcript. It is a transcript of the gene named teosinte glume architecture 1, with no coding region annotated. Lineage: Eukaryota; Viridiplantae; Streptophyta; Magnoliopsida; Gentianales; Rubiaceae. The record is from RefSeq and is a predicted model, not a curated record.